This 561-nucleotide ribosomal RNA is filed under the name uncultured bacterium. RNAcentral describes it as "bacterial SSU rRNA". It matches the Rfam family "Bacterial small subunit ribosomal RNA", at positions 308 to 859 of the family's 1533-position model. The record is from RNAcentral.
CCACACUGGAACUGAGACACGGUCCAGACUCCUACGGGAGGCAGCAGUGGGGAAUUUUGCGCAAUGGGGGAAACCCUGACGCAGCAACGCCGCGUGAGUGAUGAAGGCCUUCGGGUCGUAAAGCUCUGUCAGAGGGGAAGAAGUGUGCGGGUGCUAAUAUCAUCUGCGCUUGACGGUACCCUCAAAGGAAGCACCGGCUAACUCCGUGCCAGCAGCCGCGGUAAUACGGAGGGUGCGAGCGUUGUUCGGAAUUAUUGGGCGUAAAGCGCGUGUAGGCGGUUUGAUAAGUCUGAUGUGAAAGCCCCGGGCUCAACCCGGGAAGUGCAUUGGAAACUGUCAGACUUGAAUACGGGAGAGGGCAGUGGAAUUCCUAGUGUAGGAGUGAAAUCCGUAGAUAUUAGGAGGAACACCGGUGGCGAAGGCGGCUGCCUGGACCGAUAUUGACGCUGAGACGCGAAAGCGUGGGGAGCAAACAGGAUUAGAUACCCUGGUAGUCCACGCCGUAAACGAUGAGUACUAGGUGUUGCGGGUAUUGACCCCUGCAGUGCCGCAGCUAACGCA